RNAcentral lists this ribosomal RNA (253 nucleotides) under uncultured bacterium. RNAcentral describes it as "partial 16S ribosomal RNA". It matches the Rfam family "Bacterial small subunit ribosomal RNA", at positions 524 to 776 of the family's 1533-position model. The record is from RNAcentral.
UACAGAGGUCUCAAGCGUUGUUCGGAUUCAUUGGGCGUAAAGGGUGGGUAGGCGGCGCGGUAAGUCGGGUGUGAAAUCUUGGAGCUUAACUCCGAAACUGCAUUCGAUACUGCCGUGCUUGAGGACUGGAGAGGAGACUGGAAUUUACGGUGUAGCGGUGAAAUGCGUAGAUAUCGUAAGGAAGACCAGUGGCGAAGGCGGGUCUCUGGACAGUUCCUGACACUGAGACACGAAGGCCAGGGGAGCAAACGGG